GACGAACGCUGGCGGCGUGCCUAAUACAUGCAAGUUGAGCGCUGAAGGUUGGUACUUGUACCGACUGGAUGAGCAGCGAACGGGUGAGUAACGCGUGGGGAAUCUGCCUUUGAGCGGGGGACAACAUUUGGAAACGAAUGCUAAUACCGCAUAAAAACUUUAAACACAAGUUUUAAGUUUGAAAGAUGCAAUUGCAUCACUCAAAGAUGAUCCCGCGUUGUAUUAGCUAGUUGGUGAGGUAAAGGCUCACCAAGGCGAUGAUACAUAGCCGACCUGAGAGGGUGAUCGGCCACAUUGGGACUGAGACACGGCCCAAAAUCCGACGGGAGGCAGCAGUAGGGAAUCUUCGGCAAUGGACGAAAGUCUGACCGAGCAACGCCGCGUGAGUGAAGAAGGUUUUCGGAUCGUAAAACUCUGUUGGUAGAGAAGAACGUUGGUGAGAGUGGAAAGCUCAUCAAGUGACGGUAACUACCCAGAAAGGGACGGCUAACUACGUGCCAGCAGCCGCCGUAA
This 513-nucleotide ribosomal RNA is filed under the name uncultured bacterium. RNAcentral's name for it is "partial 16S ribosomal RNA". It matches the Rfam family "Bacterial small subunit ribosomal RNA", at positions 28 to 523 of the family's 1533-position model. The record is from RNAcentral.